This 121-nucleotide Y RNA is filed under the name Microcebus murinus (gray mouse lemur). RNAcentral describes it as "Y RNA (ENSMICG00000038008.2)". It matches the Rfam family "Y RNA". Rfam says of the family: Y RNAs are components of the Ro ribonucleoprotein particle (Ro RNP), in association with Ro60 and La proteins. The Y RNAs and Ro60 and La proteins are well conserved, but the function of the Ro RNP is not known. The record is from Rfam by way of RNAcentral. Lineage: Eukaryota; Metazoa; Chordata; Mammalia; Primates; Cheirogaleidae.
GGCUGGUCCAAAGGUAGGGUGUUAUCCCACUUGAUUGUUCACAGUCAGUUAUAGAUUGAACUCCUUGUUCUACAACUUUCCACCUCCCCUCCCUUUCAACACUGCACUUGACUAGUCUUAA